CGGGAUGUAGCGCAGCCUGGUAGCGCACCUGCUUCGGGAGCAGGGGGUCGGACGUUCGAAUCGUCUCAUCCCGA
Molecule: transfer RNA, 74 nt
Filed under: Geobacter sp. DSM 9736
Lineage: Bacteria; Pseudomonadati; Thermodesulfobacteriota; Desulfuromonadia; Geobacterales; Geobacteraceae
Rfam family: tRNA
About the family: Transfer RNA (tRNA) molecules are approximately 80 nucleotides in length. Their secondary structure includes four short double-helical elements and three loops (D, anti-codon, and T loops). Further hydrogen bonds mediate the characteristic L-shaped molecular structure. tRNAs have two regions of fundamental functional importance: the anti-codon, which is responsible for specific mRNA codon recognition, and the 3' end, to which the tRNAs corresponding amino acid is attached (by aminoacyl-tRNA synthetases). tRNAs cope with the degeneracy of the genetic code in two manners: having more than one tRNA (with a specific anti-codon) for a particular amino acid; and 'wobble' base-pairing, i.e. permitting non-standard base-pairing at the 3rd anti-codon position.
Source: Rfam by way of RNAcentral